Poecilia latipinna (sailfin molly) is the source of this 669-nucleotide long non-coding RNA. RefSeq lists it as uncharacterized. The transcript has 2 exons. NCBI's taxonomy places the organism in Eukaryota, Metazoa, Chordata, Actinopteri, Cyprinodontiformes, Poeciliidae. The record is from RefSeq and is a predicted model, not a curated record.
UUUUUUUUUUUUUUAUUCCUCGGAUACCAUGAUGGACUAUUCAUAGCUGCAAGUACAACGGAAGCAUGUAAUCCCUCCCACAAACGAGCUCUGACGAUGUUGGCGUGGAAAAUCAAGCACUUGAUGAGAAGAUGUCGGGCGAGGCUGCUGCAACAAGCAGGAGGGCACAUGAAGACGAUUUCACACCGAAUAAACUGGAAACUGGAGGAAUAUACAAAACCUGGCAGAUAUCAGGCUCACAAAUUAGAGGCAGCGAGACGAGUUCAAUCCGGAGCGCAAAAGACGAGCAACAACGAAUUCCUUCACACACAGAAGCUGCAGAACGGUUUUCCUUUGACUCGGUUUCCUCUACAAGUACAAAGGUUUUGAAAUGCCGAACUUUCAGCAGCCGGUGCUCAACGUGACCCUGCAGAUUAGGAACUUGGCUCAGUCGCUUCACUCUCGGUGGAAUAUUUGACUUAUUUCCCACAAAAGCCACACUGAAAUGUUUAUGUGGCUUGUGGGAAAUGAAGGAAGGCGAUAGUUCAGAGUGAUAAUAUCAGAGAGUGCAGGAGCCCUGAAACGAAACGCCGCGGCGAAAUGCGACAAAAUGUCCAGAUACAAAAGCAAAACCGUUCUAAUCAGGUUUUCUUUUCAGAAGAAUUUAGCAUAAUUAAAAAAAAAAAAAAA